ACUUGGCUGCAACUGGACCCAGAACUAGGGAAGAGGCCAGGGACAGAUUUUUUUUUUUUAUUUUUAUUUUUUUUGCCGAGGGACGUUUCAAAAUUUUGCACGGCCAGGGUGACAAAAAGAGGAUUUAAGAGCCACAAGCGGUCCGCACAUGACCCAGACUUCGUUCCUGUGCGGCUUCCAGAGGUGUUCAUGCAGAAGACUGGAUGCAGGACCCUUGGUGGCACCAGUGUGCAGAUGAGCAGAUAGUGACUGAUUGCCACUGGGGCUAUAACAAAAUAUAAUAAACUGGGUACCUUAGAAGCAACGGAAAUUGAUUUCUCAUCGUUCUAGAAGCUAGGAAGUUCACGAUCAAGGUAGCAGCAGAGUUGGUGCCUGAAUUGCCCAGCAGAUGUCUUUUUCAUUUCCUUUGCUUGUGGUUUGCCCAUCUGUCAGCUGUGAAUGACCCAAACAACGUGACACGCUAUUUCUAACUCAACAGUCCUGGAACUUUCUUGACCUUUGACAAAGCCAUCAGAUCACCAUCACCAUCAUUAUUGUUUAUAGAAACAUGAAAAUUCAACCAUAAAAAGUCAUCUUGGGCUGAGCAUGGUGGCUCUAACAUGUAAUCCCAGCACUUUGGGAGCCUAAGGUAUGCUCACUCUUUCACUAACCUUGAGAGACAUUGUCAGAUGUGCAUAAGGGAAGAACAUGAAGGACGACGGAUAAACUGUACACAGACACAGCACAUGGAGUCUGAGUCAUUUGUUUUCUCUGACAGAUCUUUACCAUGCUGGAUUGGAAGAGAAAAGACCAUCACUAAAGCAAAUGGAUCAAAUGGAGUUAUAAAUCAACUCUGUACUCUACAGGAUUGACUCAACUGCAGACAUCUCCAAUACACUCCCUCAUGGCUUUAUUUUUUCUGCUUAUGUGGAAAAAUAACAGUAAAUACAGUUAACUAUCCCAAGACAGAAGAGUAUUAUUAAAAAAGAAUACAACGUUAUUGAUUUUUCAAGACAUAAUCAGAUAUUUUUAAACUCUGAUUUAAUAAAACAUAAUGUAAUUUC
RNAcentral lists this long non-coding RNA (1043 nucleotides) under Homo sapiens (human). RNAcentral's name for it is "uncharacterized LOC101929174, transcript variant 3 (LOC101929174)". Lineage: Eukaryota; Metazoa; Chordata; Mammalia; Primates; Hominidae. The record is from RNAcentral.